RNAcentral lists this ribosomal RNA (468 nucleotides) under uncultured bacterium. RNAcentral's name for it is "partial 16S ribosomal RNA". It matches the Rfam family "Bacterial small subunit ribosomal RNA", at positions 28 to 507 of the family's 1533-position model. The record is from RNAcentral.
GACGAACGCUGGCGGCGUGCUUAACACAUGCAAGUCGAACGGAAAGGCCCUGCUUUUGUGGGGUGCUCGAGUGGCGAACGGGUGAGUAACAUGUGAGUAACCUGCCCUUGACUUUGGGAUAACUUCAGGAAACUGGGGCUAAUACCGGAUAGGAGCUCCUGCUGCAUGGGGGGGGUUGGAAAGUUUCGGCGGUUGGGGAUGGACUCGCGGCUUAUCAGCUUGUUGGUGGGGUAGUGGCUUACCAAGGCUUUGACGGGUAGCCGGCCUGAGAGGGUGACCGGCCACAUUGGGACUGAGAUACGGCCCAGACUCCUACGGGAGGCAGCAGUGGGGAAUAUUGCACAAUGGGCGGAAGCCUGAUGCAGCAACGCCGCGUGCGGGAUGACGGCCUUCGGGUUGUAAACCGCUUUCGCCUGUGACGAAGCGUGAGUGACGGUAAUGGGUAAAGAAGCACCGGCUAACUACGUG